Long non-coding RNA from Oncorhynchus tshawytscha (Chinook salmon), 432 nucleotides. The record is from Ensembl. NCBI's taxonomy places the organism in Eukaryota, Metazoa, Chordata, Actinopteri, Salmoniformes, Salmonidae.
GUCGCUCUGGCUUCCUAUUGGUGGGGGACCCUGCCCGAGCCUGCCAGUCCAAUGGAGGCUGGACCCCCAAACCCUCCUGUCUCAGGGUGUGUCAUCAGGGCCGCGUGGAGAUCACUGAGAAGGAGCUAGAAACAGCUACCUGCUCCUCCACCUGUCCCCUUAAGUCCUACAUGGGGCCUCUUAAGCAGGGCUGCUACGGCAUCGACAACUGCAGGAAGAUGAAUCCUGACUGGAAGCGCUGGUUCACCCGCUGUGACACGUGCCUGUGUGAUUGCCACAUCGCCUGUGUCAUGGUCUGGGUCCUCCAGUCUCCUCAUGGGCCCCAAUAGUACUCCCCCUUCCACCACCGAGCUGGAGUAGACCUGACCAACCAAUUCUCCAUUGGACAAGCUCACUCUCACACAGACAGCCUGAUAGGCACUGCCACCCUCA